Molecule: ribosomal RNA, 468 nt
Filed under: uncultured bacterium
Lineage: Bacteria
Description: partial 16S ribosomal RNA
Rfam family: Bacterial small subunit ribosomal RNA
Source: RNAcentral
GACGAACGCUGGCGGCGUGCUUAACACAUGCAAGUCGAACGGAAAGGCCCUGCUUUUGUGGGGUGCUCGAGUGGCGAACGGGUGAGUAACACGUGAGUAACCUGUACCUGACUUUGGGAUAACUUCAGGAAACUGGGGCUAAUACCGGAUAGGAGCUCCUGCUGCAUGGUGGGGGCUGGAAAGUUUCGGCGGUUGGGGAUGGACUCGCGGCGUAUCAGCUUGUUGGUGGGGUAGUGGAUUACCAAGGCUUUGACGGGUAGCCGGCCUGAGAGGGUGACCGGCCACAUUGGGACUGAGAUACGGCCCAGACUCCUACGGGAGGCAGCAGUGGGGAAUAUUGCACAAUGGGCGGAAGCCUGAUGCAGCAACGCCGCGUGCGGGAUGACGGCCUUCGGGUUGUAAACCGCUUUCGCCUGUGACGAAGCGUGAGUGACGGUAAUGGGUAAAGAAGCACCGGCUAACUACGUG